Molecule: small nucleolar RNA, 78 nt
Organism: Lepidothrix coronata (blue-crowned manakin)
Lineage: Eukaryota; Metazoa; Chordata; Aves; Passeriformes; Pipridae
Source: Ensembl
AUGAGACAUCUCCGGAAUCGCUGCACCACGGUGAUGACUCCUUCUACCCUGGGUCUCUGAUGGCAGCGGCAGCUCUGG